RNAcentral lists this ribosomal RNA (253 nucleotides) under uncultured bacterium. RNAcentral's name for it is "partial 16S ribosomal RNA". It matches the Rfam family "Bacterial small subunit ribosomal RNA", at positions 524 to 776 of the family's 1533-position model. The record is from RNAcentral.
GACGUAGGGUGCAAGCGUUAAUCGGAAUUACUGGGCGUAAAGCGUGCGCAGGCGGUGAUGUAAGACAGAUGUGAAAUCCCCGGGCUCAACCUGGGAACUGCAUUUGUGACUGCAUCGCUGGAGUGCGGCAGAGGGGGAUGGAAUUCCGCGUGUAGCAGUGAAAUGCGUAGAUAUGCGGAGGAACACCGAUGGCGAAGGCAAUCCCCUGGGCCUGCACUGACGCUCAUGCACGAAAGCGUGGGGAGCAAACAGG